Molecule: ribosomal RNA, 439 nt
Filed under: uncultured bacterium
Lineage: Bacteria
Description: partial 16S ribosomal RNA
Rfam family: Bacterial small subunit ribosomal RNA
Source: RNAcentral
CCACGGGUCGCUGCAGUGGGGAAUAUUGCACAAUGGAGGAAAUUCUGAUGCAGCAACGCCGCGUGGAGGAUGACACUUUUCGGAGCGUAAACUCCUUUUAUAUAGGAAGAAGAUGACGGUACUAUAUGAAUAAGCGCCGGCUAACUCCGUGCCAGCAGCCGCGGUAAUACGGAGGGCGCAAGCGUUACUCGGAAUCACUGGGCGUAAAGAGCGUGUAGGCGGAUUAAAAAGUCAGAAGUGAAAUCCUAUAGCUUAACUAUAGAACUGCUUCUGAAACUCUUAAUCUAGAAUAUGGGAGAGGUAGAUGGAAUUUCUGGUGUAGGGGUAAUAUCCGUAGAGAUCAGAAGGAAUACCGAUUGCGAAGGCGAUCUACUAGAACAUUAUUGACGCUGAGACGCGAAAGCGUGGGGAGCAAACAGGAUUAGAUACCCCGGUAGUC